Molecule: non-coding RNA, 304 nt
Organism: Penaeus vannamei (Pacific white shrimp)
Lineage: Eukaryota; Metazoa; Arthropoda; Malacostraca; Decapoda; Penaeidae
Source: RefSeq, a predicted model, not a curated record
UAUCGCCAGUGUGAGAAGGCGUCAGCUGGCCCCCUCCGUGAGAGCCGCCAGUAUAUACGGCGCUCGGUCGCCCCUCAGGCCAGUGCGACCUCGCUCUUCAGCCAGCUCUGCCACCAUGCUUCGCCUUGCCUCCUUCCUCUUGACGCUGGGCAUCGCUCUCGCCCAGCCUCUGGACAAAAUUCUCGAGGGCGACCUCACAGCUCUCCUGCAGGAGCGCUCGCGCCCUACGACCCGCCACUGUGCCAGCGAUCACCAACUUGAACAUCGUUACUGACCAUAGCAGGUAAGGGCUUCGGCGUAAAUU